Molecule: non-coding RNA, 140 nt
Organism: Enteractinococcus sp.
Lineage: Bacteria; Bacillati; Actinomycetota; Actinomycetes; Micrococcales; Micrococcaceae
Source: Rfam
CCGGGUUAGUGUCCAGUAGACCCGUCCCCACCGUGGCGUGCGUUGUUGGUAACGACGAGGUGCGAAGCCUGCGGGAAAGCCGAAGUCGUGGCAUCAACUUGCCGAUGUACGACGGGCGAGGGGAAAGUCCGGAUGGGUGA